GAUGAACGCUAGCUACAGGCUUAACACAUGCAAGUCGAGGGGCAGCAUGAACUUAGCUUGCUAAGUUUGAUGGCGACCGGCGCACGGGUGAGUAACACGUAUCCAACCUGCCGAUGACUCGGGGAUAGCCUUUCGAAAGAAAGAUUAAUACCCGAUGGCAUAGUUCUUCCGCAUGGUAGAACUAUUAAAGAAUUUCGGUCAUCGAUGGGGAUGCGUUCCAUUAGGUUGUUGGCGGGGUAACGGCCCACCAAGCCUUCGAUGGAUAGGGGUUCUGAGAGGAAGGUCCCCCCACAUUGGUACUGAGACACGGACCAAACUCCUACGGGAGGCAGCAGUGAGGAAUAUUGGUCAAUGGCCGAGAGGCUGAACCAGCCAAGUCGCGUGAAGGAAGAAGGAUCUAUGGUUUGUAAACUUCUUUAUAGGGGAAUAAAGUGGAGGACGUGUCCUUUUUGUAUGUACCCUAUGAAUAAGCAUCGGCUAACUCCGUG
This 488-nucleotide ribosomal RNA is filed under the name uncultured bacterium. RNAcentral describes it as "bacterial SSU rRNA". It matches the Rfam family "Bacterial small subunit ribosomal RNA", at positions 28 to 507 of the family's 1533-position model. The record is from RNAcentral.